UAGGGAAUAUUGGGCAAUGGGCGAAAGCCUGACCCAGCAACGCCGCGUGUGCGAUGAAGGCCCUCGGGUCGUAAAGCACUUUUCUGAGGAAUGAGAAUGGACAGUACCUCAGGAAUAAGUCUCGGCUAACUACGUGCCAGCAGCCGCGGUAAAACGUAGGAGACGAGCGUUAUCCGGAUUUACUGGGCGUAAAGCGUGUGCAGGCGGUUCGGCAAGUUGGAUGUGAAAUCUCCCGGCUCAACUGGGAGGGGUCGUUCAAUACUACCGAACUUGAGGUCAUCAGAGGAAGGUGGAAUUCCGGGUGUAGUGGUGAAAUGCGUAGAUAUCCGGAGGAACACCAGUGGCGAAGGCGGCCUUCUGGGAUGAUCCUGACGCUCAGACACGAAAGCUAGGGGAGCGAACGG
Molecule: ribosomal RNA, 404 nt
Filed under: uncultured bacterium
Lineage: Bacteria
Description: bacterial SSU rRNA
Rfam family: Bacterial small subunit ribosomal RNA
Source: RNAcentral